UACGUAGGGGGCAAGCGUUGUCCGGAUUUAUUGGGCGUAAAGCGCGUGUAGGCGGCCUGACAGGUCUGCUGUGAAAACUCGAGGCUCAACCUCGAGAUGUCGGCGGAAACCGUCUGGCUAGAGUCCGGAAGAGGAGAGUGGAAUUCCUGGUGUAGCGGUGAAAUGCGCAGAUAUCAGGAAGAACACCUAUGGCGAAGGCGGUUCUCUGGGCAUGUCCUGACGCUGAGGAGCGAAAGCGUGGGGAGCGAACAGG
This 253-nucleotide ribosomal RNA is filed under the name uncultured bacterium. RNAcentral describes it as "partial 16S ribosomal RNA". It matches the Rfam family "Bacterial small subunit ribosomal RNA", at positions 524 to 776 of the family's 1533-position model. The record is from RNAcentral.